CCUACGGGUGGCAGCAGUGGGGAAUAUUGCACAAUGGGCGCAAGCCUGAUGCAGCCAUGCCGCGUGUGUGAAGAAGGCCUUCGGGUUGUAAAGCACUUUCAGCGGGGAGGAAGGCGUUAAGGUUAAUAACCUUGGCGAUUGACGUUACCCGCAGAAGAAGCACCGGCUAACUCCGUGCCAGCAGCCGCGGUAAUACGGAGGGUGCAAGCGUUAAUCGGAAUUACUGGGCGUAAAGCGCACGCAGGCGGUCUGUCAAGUCGGAUGUGAAAUCCCCGGGCUCAACCUGGGAACUGCAUUCGAAACUGGCAGGCUAGAGUCUUGUAGAGGGGGGUAGAAUUCCAGGUGUAGCGGUGAAAUGCGUAGAGAUCUGGAGGAAUACCGGUGGCGAAGGCGGCCCCCUGGACAAAGACUGACGCUCAGGUGCGAAAGCGUUGGGAGCAAACAGGAUUAGAUACCCUUGUAGUC
RNAcentral lists this ribosomal RNA (465 nucleotides) under uncultured Klebsiella sp. RNAcentral describes it as "bacterial SSU rRNA". It matches the Rfam family "Bacterial small subunit ribosomal RNA", at positions 338 to 795 of the family's 1533-position model. Lineage: Bacteria; Pseudomonadati; Pseudomonadota; Gammaproteobacteria; Enterobacterales; Enterobacteriaceae. The record is from RNAcentral.